This is a long non-coding RNA of Antechinus flavipes (yellow-footed antechinus), 406 nucleotides long. RefSeq lists it as uncharacterized. The transcript is spliced from 3 exons. The record is from RefSeq and is a predicted model, not a curated record. NCBI's taxonomy places the organism in Eukaryota, Metazoa, Chordata, Mammalia, Dasyuromorphia, Dasyuridae.
GCAACAGGAUAAACCCAGAGUGACUGAGCAGAAGAUAAAAUCUGUGUCCCCGAGGAAGGUACACAGGGGGAGGAGGCAGCUUUGCAAAAGAGAUGGACAGGAAAGGUCUCCUAAUUGAAGAGAUAAGCAUCUUGAGGAAGAGACAGGAGGCAGCCACAGCACCACCACCAACAGCAACUGUUGAUCAAGUGCCAUUGACCACUUCCUCAUCUGUAAAAUGAGCUGGAGAAGAAAAUGACAAAUCACUCCAAUAUCUUUGCCAAGAAAACCCCAAAUGGAGUCACCAAAGAAUCAGAUACGACUGCAGUGACUAAACAACAAAUUGCUCUCAUAUUAUCUUUCUUAAGUUCUUUGCGAGCAAGGAUUGUUUUCUGUGUCCUCAGAUCUUAACCACAACUUACAUCUU